CUGGUGGACAGAGCUUACAAGCAAUUGCUGUACUUCAGUAUCUUCACAAUGCCCUUCUUUGCAGCCCGUCAUCACAAAAACAUUCUUCAUCCUGCCUUCCAAGGUUGCAAUCUCUGCCUUCAUUACUAUCAAAUGGAGUGAAUCAAGUGCUUGUCUCAAAUCAGAUAGAAGUCCAGGCUUAUAAUCACAGCUCAAUGAUACCCUGAUUAAAUAAGGGCCAACAUCCAAUCCAUUCUCUUGUCCUUCUACUCUUAC
RNAcentral lists this unclassified non-coding RNA (255 nucleotides) under Hevea brasiliensis (rubber tree). Lineage: Eukaryota; Viridiplantae; Streptophyta; Magnoliopsida; Malpighiales; Euphorbiaceae. The record is from RNAcentral.